Drosophila sulfurigaster albostrigata is the source of this 1563-nucleotide long non-coding RNA. RefSeq lists it as uncharacterized. The transcript has 3 exons. Lineage: Eukaryota; Metazoa; Arthropoda; Insecta; Diptera; Drosophilidae. The record is from RefSeq and is a predicted model, not a curated record.
GUUUCUUGCGAAGGGGAAUGAAGAGGGCGAAAAAGAAAAAUAUAAUUAUGUUCGAUAAACUAUAUUUUAAUGAUUUCAUUUUUAAUACUAUUUUAAUCAUGCAUGCGUAAAACGUGCUCUCGACACCAUUUUGUGCGAAGCUUGCAAAAUGCUUUAAUUAAAUACUAAAGACUCGGUAACAUCAGCAAAAGCUUGUAAAUAAUAUAAUUGAAUGACUGUUUUACCCAAAGAUGUUUUGCUUUUAAAGCUUGUGCAUAUUAAAGCUCGUGUCAUUCGCAACAAUCCCCUCUGGCAUGCAAGAAGACUUUAAAAAGUGGAGCGAGCAGCAAAGCAAAUGGAAGUGGAAGUGGAAGUGAAAGAAAUGGAAAGAAAACUUUAAAUUUGCAGACUCGGGCUCGUCUCUCAGACGGACGCACACAGAAAACUGACAGAAGGUAAUCACUGACAAAUGCUGCCCCGCUGCUGUCAAUCAAAAACACACUAAAAUACACACACAAAGGUCAGUCAGGCUGCUUGCUGCAUACCCAAUCUCUCAAGCAGCUUGGCGGCAGGCUGUUGCCGACGCCGACGCCGCCGCCGACGCCGCUGAGCUGCCUUAAUUUGCGGAAUUCAAGAAAUUCGCUUUCAUUUGAGAUUAUGUGCGUAUUAUAAUCCACUGGCCAUGCGACUCAAGGAUAUGCUCACAGAAGUCAGAGUACAGACUCUCAUUCUUUUAUUCUCCCCCCCAGCUCAGUAUCAAGCCAAAAUCAAUACUUAAAUACGCCUCAGGAGCAGCGAACGUAUGUGAUUAACUUUUGUGCAGUCAGUUAGGCACAAAAUUAAGAUAACAGCCCAUUAAAUUUAUGCAUGAACAAAAGACAUUUUAAUAUUGUGCAGACACGUACUCGUCGUCUUCGUCGUCGUCGUCGGCUGUCGUUAUUUUGGAUAACUAAGUUUUGUGCCUUUUCUUUUCUCUCUACUCUAAUGAUUGCUCAAAGUUCUAAUUUGACUUUAAUAAGCAAUUGCGUGCCCGUCGAUGUGUGAGGCACAAAACUGAGAGUCUCAAGCAGAGAUAAAAUAAGCAAUAAGCUGAGAUACUCAACGUUCAUCCUGGCAUUGAGCCUGAGCUUAUGCUGCGCUGUAAAGUAUGCUACACUUUUUCACAGGUGGUUGUUACUCGCACUUGAAUCGAAACCAAAAUUCUAACUGGCGCUGCAUAACACAUAUUUCAUACGCCAUGCAACUGAAAGCCAUUAUGUGGCAAUUGUAUUAUUCAAAUUCGCUUUACGAGAACUUAAUACAUCAUUCAACGCGUUGCUCAAAUACCGCAUCAAAGCAACAAAAGUGCCGCUAGCGAACCAUGAACAACCUCUCACAACGAACCUCAAUCCGACCUCUUCUUGUCAACUAGCUAGUUCAACUUAAAGGUAACUUAUAAAGAAACUUUCGAACUUUGCAGUGCUUCUUCUUCUUCUUCUUCUUAUGUAGCACUUUCAUCGGCAAUUUCGCAAUGCAAUGUCGCAACCUCAGUUUCAGUGCUUGACGACAACGACGACGCCUGGCUGCCUGCGGGUGAGUAGUUAG